AGUAAAGGAAGCCUGGAAUGCUGGAAGAUCUACAAACAAUAUUAUCUGAACAACAGUUACAGCUGUGAUUAAAGUACAAAGAGAAAAAAAACAGUAGAUUUAACAGUAAACUAGGUGGAGGAAGGGAUAGAAGCUAAACAGCAUUUCACUGUAGUAGGAAAAACACUGACUUGAGAGUUAAUAAGUGUUCAAGUAUUUUAUUGUAAUUCUUUAAUUGUUUGUUAAACCUAAACAUAGUUUGAUAGUGUUUUUUUGCUGCUGAUUAUAUAUCCUGAUAUCAGCUGGUUUAUAUUCCUUAAAUUAGGGAAAAAUGUUCAAUUUUUUCAAAUGGUUUUUCAAAGUUUCUACUUGUUCAAAUCAAGUAGAACUAAUUAAUUCUCUAUCCAAAGAUUUUAGACAUGCCUCCAGACCCAAAUACUCUGAUGAGAAAAAGACAGCUUCUCUGUUUUUGGAACUCAAACUUUCAGCAACAUGCUUUCAAUAUUAACAUAUAAUAGACUACUGUUAUAUGACACUAAAUGUAAAAUCUAAGUGAAUAUACUUUAUUGGACAUACUUUUUUGAUAACUUUCAUAACAAGUUAGCAUGAACACAAAUAAUAUCUCACUUUAUUAUAGAACACAACAUAAUCUUUUACAUUCUAUUUAAGGUCCUUCCUACACCCUACUGCAUAAUCAUCCACAAAUAUAACUUUAUCC
This is a long non-coding RNA of Homo sapiens (human), 697 nucleotides long. Ensembl annotates it as BIRC6 antisense RNA 1. Its record names the gene BIRC6-AS1. Lineage: Eukaryota; Metazoa; Chordata; Mammalia; Primates; Hominidae. The record is from Ensembl.